GGACCUGUAGCUCAGCGGUAGAGCGUUCGAUUCACAUUCGAAAGGUCAGAGGUUCGAAACCUCUCAGGUCCA
This 72-nucleotide transfer RNA is filed under the name Patescibacteria group bacterium. Its description in RNAcentral is "tRNA-Val". It matches the Rfam family "tRNA". Rfam says of the family: Transfer RNA (tRNA) molecules are approximately 80 nucleotides in length. Their secondary structure includes four short double-helical elements and three loops (D, anti-codon, and T loops). The record is from RNAcentral.